Molecule: long non-coding RNA, 236 nt
Filed under: Solanum tuberosum (potato)
Lineage: Eukaryota; Viridiplantae; Streptophyta; Magnoliopsida; Solanales; Solanaceae
Description: long non-coding RNA (STUB_LNC005621)
Source: RNAcentral
CCCAAGUUUCCUAAAGCUUGAAACUGCAAGUUCCCCAAAGUCCGAGACCCCAAGUUCUCCAAAGCCCUAGAUUCCUAAUUUCUCAAAGCCAGAAAUACCUAAUUUCUCAAAACUCGAGACCUCUAAUUUUUCAAAGACAGAGAUUCCAGCAGCCCGGAAUCCUGAGAUUCCUAGUGUCUCUAAGCCUGAAAUGCCAUGUUCGCCAAAUCGUGAGCUACCAACUACCCCAAAAUCUG